RNAcentral lists this ribosomal RNA (426 nucleotides) under uncultured bacterium. RNAcentral describes it as "bacterial SSU rRNA". It matches the Rfam family "Bacterial small subunit ribosomal RNA", at positions 357 to 774 of the family's 1533-position model. The record is from RNAcentral.
GGGAAUAUUGCGCAAUGGGGGAAACCCUGACGCAGCGACGCCGUGUGAGGGAAGAAGGCUUUCGGGUCGUAAACCUCUGUCAGGAAGGAAGAACCUCUCAAGGCUGAACAAGCCUUGGGACUGACGGUACUUCCAGAGGAAGCACCGGCUAACUCCGCGCCAGCAGCCGCGGUAAUACGGAGGGUGCAAGCGUUAAUCGGAAUCACUGGGCGUAAAGCGCGCGUAGGCCGUCUUUUAAGUCGGACGUGAAAGCCCUCGGCUCAACCGGGGAACUGCGUUCGAUACUGUGAGACUUGAGUCCUGGAGAGGGUGGCGGAAUUCCGGGUGUAGGAGUGAAAUCCGUAGAUAUCCGGAGGAACACCGGUGGCGAAUGCGGCCACCUGGACAGGUACUGACGCUGAGGCGCGAAAGCGUGGGGAGCAAACA